RNAcentral lists this ribosomal RNA (330 nucleotides) under uncultured eukaryote. RNAcentral's name for it is "partial 18S ribosomal RNA". It matches the Rfam family "Eukaryotic small subunit ribosomal RNA", at positions 1470 to 1796 of the family's 1831-position model. The record is from RNAcentral.
CCCUUAGAUGUUCGGGGCCGCACGCGCGCUACACUGAAGGAAUCAGCACGUCUUUCUCCUUGUCCGAAAGGACUGGGUAACCCGCUGAACCUCCUUCGUGCUAGGGAUUGGGGCUUGUAAUUCUUCCCCAUGAACGAGGGAUUCCCAGUAAGCGCGAGUCAUAAGCUCGCGUUGAUUACGUCCCUGCCCUUUGUACACACCGCCCGUCGCUACUACCGAUUGGAUGGUUUAGUGAGAUCCUCGGAUUGGUCCCGGAGCGGCCUCUGGUCGUGCCGGAGUGCCGAAAAGAAUGUCGAACUUGAUCAUCUAGAGGAAGUAAAAGUCGUAACA